CCUACGGGGGACAGCAGUGGGGAAUAUUGCACAAUGGGGGAAACCCUGAUGCAGCGACGCCGCGUGAGUGAAGAAGUAAUUCGUUAUGUUAAGCUCUAUCAGCAGGGAAGCAAAUGACGGUACCUGAGUCCGCAGCCCCGGCUAACUACGUGCCAGCAGCCGCGGUAAUACGUCGGGGGCACGCGUUAUCCGGAUUUACUGGGUGUAAAGGGAGCGUAGACGGCAGUGCAAGUCUGGAGUGAAAGGCGGGGGCUCAACCCCCGGACUGCUCUUGAAACUGUACGGCUGGAGUGCAGGAGAGGUAAGUGGAAUGCGUAGUGUAGCGGUGAAAUGCGUAGAUAUGAGGAAGAACACCAGUGGCGAAGGCAGCUUACUGGACUGUAACUGACGUUGAGGCUCGAAAGCGUGGGGAGCGAACAGGAUUAGAUACCCUUGUAGUC
Molecule: ribosomal RNA, 440 nt
Filed under: uncultured bacterium
Lineage: Bacteria
Description: partial 16S ribosomal RNA
Rfam family: Bacterial small subunit ribosomal RNA
Source: RNAcentral